GUUCGUCUGUUCGAGUUCGACUGUUCCUCUCGCGACUAGGCGACUCCAGACUCCUAACGGCGACUCUUUGAAACUCCCUCAAGGCGUCCGGCAAGGCUAGGCACAUGUACAUGCUACCAGGUAAAUUCAAAUCCGGCCAAUCCAAAGUUGUCAAUUUUGCCAGUUGCCACUCGUACUGAACUACUGAUGAACACCAUACUCAUUUAAUUAGUUAGGGUUUUGUAUUUUUUUCAGAAAGAUAAUAUAAUCAAAAUUCAAAAGGCAGACCCAAGUAGGGAUUUUUACCUUCCAGAUUCAGCAAACCUCUCAAGUCUUAACUUCUUGUGUAUGCUUUGUUCCAGCAAAAUGACA
This 351-nucleotide long non-coding RNA is filed under the name Zea mays. RNAcentral's name for it is "long non-coding RNA (ZMAY_LNC005006)". The record is from RNAcentral. Lineage: Eukaryota; Viridiplantae; Streptophyta; Magnoliopsida; Poales; Poaceae.